GCGAACAAACAGAGCUCUUUGGGAUUUCAACACCCAAACAUCCUGCAAUUGUUUUCAGUUCUAGUUUCAGACCUGUCCUAACCCUGUGGUGCCUGCAAGAGGUGCAUCAGGAGGGGAAUAUUGAGGGAAUGCUGCUCGGGACGUGUUUGAAGCAAUCAAAGGGUUGAAAGAUUGAUUCGGCAUGUAGAUUGGAUUUAAUUCGAAGCAGCUUUGUUCUAAUGAGGACUACUGGGAUACAAAGACGGCAGCCGCUUAUGGCCACCAGUUGGGAACUUCCACUCGCUGCAGCAACCUGUCAAGAAUUCCAAGGAACUGCCAGGGUAAAAUUGCCUGCAGGGUACGUUUGCUGGAGCCUGUUAAUUCCUCCUGAGGAAUUUGGAAGAUGCCCAUGUCUAAGACAAUGA
RNAcentral lists this long non-coding RNA (404 nucleotides) under Junco hyemalis (dark-eyed junco). RNAcentral describes it as "lncRNA (ENSJHYG00000012896.1)". The record is from RNAcentral. Lineage: Eukaryota; Metazoa; Chordata; Aves; Passeriformes; Passerellidae.